CACGUUGUCGUUCUGGUCAACCACAUGGAGGUUCAGUGUGGCCGUGCCUGUUAAUGGUGGCUCACCUGUCAAGACAGAAAUACAAGAAUACGUUUCUACAGCCAUGCUAACAGCACUUUGAGCUGGUCUUCGCUUGACCGUGCUGGUGUGUGUCUCCUCGUCGUCUGACCUGAACACAGGAGUGUCUCCUCCGUUGGCGUUGGUGGCCUGGCUGUCAGAGGAGGAGUUUGAAGAUGUGGAGGACAUGCGUGACUUGGCAUCAAGACCCUCGAGGACAUGUUGAAAGAGUCCAUUACUGAUGACUUCCUCGUUGUUGUUGUUUCCUUGAGCUGUAAGUCAGAAACAAAAAAAUGUUAGGGAUGUAACUGUGCAGGCUGUUCACAUUGCUGUUUGCAGUUACACCAACAAGGAAAAAAAGAUGUGUGAUGACGUUAAUAAAGUUCAAAAGAA
Long non-coding RNA from Centropristis striata (black sea bass), 450 nucleotides. RefSeq lists it as uncharacterized. The record is from RefSeq and is a predicted model, not a curated record. The transcript is spliced from 2 exons. Lineage: Eukaryota; Metazoa; Chordata; Actinopteri; Perciformes; Serranidae.